UUUUUUAAUGUAAAAAUUGAUUUUGUUUACCUAAGUAUUAUGAAGAUAAUUUAGUAAUUUGUUAUUAUAUUUAUUUAAAACUUAAAAGGUUUGGCGGUUUUACAUAUCCAGUUAGGGGAAUUUGUUAAUAUAAUUUGAUAAUCCACAUUUUAAACUUACUUCUUUUUGAAUUAUAUAUAACAGUUUAUAUAUUGCUGUCGACAGUUUAUAUUUUAAGAAUAAAAGAACUUUUAAAUUUUUUGGUUAGUAUGUCAAGUCAUAAUGUAGCUGAUAAAGAAGGUUUAAUGAAUUACUUUGAUUUAUUUUGUUUAUUAUCCGGAUAAUAAAUAUUAGGUUUAUUAAUAAGGUGGACUUAAUAGUAAAUUUAAUUAUUAGUAUGAAUAGUUGAAUAUGGUUUUGUAAAGUG
RNAcentral lists this ribosomal RNA (406 nucleotides) under Octopus bimaculoides (California two-spot octopus). Its description in RNAcentral is "partial 12S ribosomal RNA". The record is from RNAcentral. Lineage: Eukaryota; Metazoa; Mollusca; Cephalopoda; Octopoda; Octopodidae.